ACUCCUACGGGAGGCAGCAGUGGGGAAGUAUUGCACAAGGGCAGGCAAGCCUGAUGCAGCCAUGCCGCGUGUGUGAAGAAGGCCUUCGGGUUGUAAAGCACUUUCAGUCGUGAGGAAGGUAGUGUAGUUAAUAGCUGCAUUAUUUGACGUUAGCGACAGAAGAAGCACCGGCUAACUCCGUGCCAGCAGCCGCGGUAAUACGGAGGGUGCGAGCGUUAAUCGGAAUUACUGGGCGUAAAGCGCAUGCAGGUGGUUUGUUAAGUCAGAUGUGAAAGCCCGGGCUC
RNAcentral lists this ribosomal RNA (284 nucleotides) under uncultured bacterium. RNAcentral describes it as "partial 16S ribosomal RNA". It matches the Rfam family "Bacterial small subunit ribosomal RNA", at positions 335 to 610 of the family's 1533-position model. The record is from RNAcentral.